RNAcentral lists this long non-coding RNA (4970 nucleotides) under Homo sapiens (human). RNAcentral describes it as "non-protein coding lnc-B3GNT10-21:13". The record is from RNAcentral. Lineage: Eukaryota; Metazoa; Chordata; Mammalia; Primates; Hominidae.
AGUCUGGCGUCAUCUAGGUCGCUGCUCAGGGAAAUGCGGAGGCCAGUAGGCUUACGUGUUUACCGCGUAGGGCAAAGCCUUGCCAAAUUCCCGGCCAGCGGAGCGGCGAGGGUGGGGACUCACGGGAAGUUAAACAGCCUCGUCGGCGUCCUCGAGGCUCCAAAACCAGGCUCUAGGCGGGGACGACUGCAGCCGUUAUGGAGGCCACCGCGGCUACGGCCGCGGCUGAGGCCUCCCCAGGUGGAGCGGUGGCCUGGAGGGGAAUCUUGAUCCUGGGCCAGCCACCUGUCAAGAGGAGGCGGAGCGUCAUGCCUCUGGAAGACUGGAUGAAUAUUCUCCAGGAGCCUGACGAAGGCGAAACCAAGAAAGACCAGCGUGGAGAGUUGGUCGCCCAUCUGCUCUAAGCUGCUGUGUAUUCCCCUGUAAUGUAAACAUCGUGAAGGUGGAGACCCAGUUAACCUUUUAGGUGGAAGGCCAGAUGACAGAGGGCGGCAUCUGACCCGGAAGGCCCUCUGCAACCAGGCCAAAUACAUCUACAGGGAACCAAUGGGAAACAUCUGGGGAGGACAACCCAAAUAAGUAUCAUGCGAGCAAGGGAUGGUUUGAGAACUUUAAAAAUCGCUGCUGUUUUGCAACAUACGAAGUUGAUGGGGAGGAAGGACCCUUAAAUCCUGAGUGGGUAUCGAGUAUUCCAAGCAACUGGAGAGAGGCUUUGUGCCUCAACAGGUCUUCAACGCCAAGGAGAUGACCCAUCUUUUGCAGUGCAUGCCUUCCUACUUUUGGGGCAAAAGACAAAAAUCUGGAAAGCUUAGAGGAAGCUAAGGACAGGAUUUCCCUCAUUUUUUUGUGGCAGUGCCUCAGGUGACAAAAUGAUAAAACCACUGCUGCUUUACAAAGACUCUAACACCCCACUUGUCUUUUAGAGAUAAACGCCUUCCUGUUUUCUUGUAAUCACACCCAGAAUCACCACUGCCACUUUUUGGAUUAGUUUUACAAUUUUUUUAUCCAUCAAAUCCGAAGUCAUUUAACAAAAAAAAUCUGGAAAUCAGAAUGUUGCUAACUGUGGACAGAGGUCCCAAUCACCCAGAUUCAUUAUUCUUUGUUCAUUCUAAUGUUGAUACUGUGUUUCUCCCUCAGGAAGGCCCUAGCUUUCUUCAGCCCUUGGGUCAGGGUAUAACUGAAGCAUUUGAACAUAAUCAAGCAUAUGUUUGACCACUUUGCUGACUGUAUUGAAAAAACCCUCACCUUACUCUGAAAGAAGCAUGGCAACAGUACAAUAUUGCCGAUGCUUUGGUAGUGAUAAAAGAGGUGAUGGGUGAUAUAAAAUCAGCCACUCUUAAGCUUGCUGGAAACUGUGGGAGGAUGUGUGAAUGAUGCAUAUUUCCCUAGAGCUAAUGAAGAAGUUAAAAAAAAUCUUAGUGUCUGCAAAACAGGUGGGUUUAAGAUUUAUUGAUAUUAGGGAAAGUGAAAUUAAUGAGCUACUCAAGUUUCUGUCUUUGGUCAUCACUGAGAGUCUAUUUCCAUAGGAAGAAGUCUUUGCAGAGGAAAUUGAAUGCUGUCUGAUGCUACAAUUCAUAUGGAUCCUUUCCUGGAUUGAAGCCUGACUUUUAAAAAAGGUUUCAAUAAAUUGCUUAUACCUAUGAAGAGAUGCAAAAGAACCUUCAAAAUAAAGCAAAGGACUUGAAGAAAGAGAAGGAAGACAUGAAGAAGAGGAUGUCAUUUAGGUGAAGGGCCAUGCUGGAUAAGGAGCUGGCUGCCUCUGUGAACAUCCUACUCAAGGCAUCUUCACUGCUGUACAUCCUUUUGAAAUCCCAGAGAUCUUCAGUCUCCCUGUGGAUUAAGGAGAUGUGCAGUAUUUAAAGUGGCUUCAGGAAGGCAUGGAAGAGGACUGAGUGGGGAAAGCUUUUUGUGCAUGCUGCUGGCUACCUCCAGCGGCUGCCUCCAGCCUCCAUCAGCUGCACUCUGGGGAAGAGGAGGCUGCCUUCUACCUCCCAGCAUCUCUGGAUUUCAUGUUCCUGUCAGCACAGAGGAGCUAAAUGGCCUGUAGAGGCUGAAGGUCUGAGGCUCCUAAAGCUGGAAGAAAAGGCUGGGCCAGUCAGGCCAAGCAAGAACACAGUGUAACUUGUCUCUGAGUGCUUCAUGGUUAAGGGGGCUAAGCAGGCACAAGGGCAUGAGGAUGGUUAUAUGUACAGACUGAGGGGAAGAAGCAGUGAAGAUGAGACUUGCCAUCUUCUUGAGUCAGUAGGCCUGCCUCAGGUGCCUAGGAUGUAAUUGCUCUGCUGCUUCUCAUGGGGAGGAGUGGCCCUCAUGACCUUGUUUACCUGGAAGAGUGUGGGAUGAAUGCCUCCUCCUAUGGGGACUCGCAAGUGCUUUAGCAAAAGGAUAAAUUGCUAAUUGUGGCAUUUCGUGGAUCAGCAGGAUUAUUUCUCCUUGCUAAAGAGGAUUUUGUUGGUCCUGAAUUCUGAGGAGGUGGGACUAGGAAUGGGCUCCAUGAGCCUGUGUAUGACUCAGGGAAUAUUAGGACUUUGGCACAGCCUCAUGGGUUGGGAGUAAGUCUUGGCUCUUCCCUAGCCUGAAUGACAGACAUCAGAUCAUUCUGGUGCUUUGUCCAUGAAGAUGUAGAUUCUGAGCCCACCCAACUAAUCUUUUCACUUGAGCACAGAAACAGCCCCGGGAAUCGGACAGACCCGUGUCUUUCAGGUUUGCUUCACAGAGCCCCAGGGGUUGACAAUAGGUGCCUUGGAGACUGCCUGCAUGGGGAUUUUUAAAAAGCUUUCUUUGUUAAAGGUUUGUAAACCACUCCUCUGAGCCUGUUUUCAUUUUAUAGAUUAUUCAGGGAACUGAACUGCACAGAGAUCCAGAAAGUGGGUAGUGCAGGCUGUAGUGCUGAUAACUACUGUACUACUUGGAUCUUUGUGCUCCCAAAUACCAAAUGGAAGAGGAUCUCUGAGAGUCCUUUGCAAAGAUCUUGUAGGGACUUUAGGCUGGGGCCUUCGGAAAAUUCCAGAGGAUUCCAAUGGAGAUUUUGAGGGACUGACUCAGAAGAACAAAGAGAAUGAUAAUGGUGAUGUCCCUGCUUUUUACAACAGAUCAUGUUCUGAUAUAUAUGCAAAUCUGUGUAAAGUAAACCCUACCUAAAAUGUACUGGGGACCCAAGAUGGACUGCCUGUAUUGCUUCCAGGAUAAAGUCCAAUUUCUAGCUCUGGUUUUUAUAACCUUGCUUCAGCUCACCUUUUCCGUCAUCAUCCCCUCCAUCUCCUCUCCCACGCUGGGAAAUGGAUGGCUGCACUAUACUGUGUGAUGUUAUUGCUAUGUUCAUGCCAUCCCCUCUGCCUGGAAUGCCCUUCUGCAUGAAUGCCUGUGAAAUGUUGUUGCUCCUUUGUAUGGCCUGGCUUCCGUGGUUGGCAGGAAUCUCUUCUUUCGUGGUAUUCCUGUCAUCUUUGUGCAUCACAGUCAGCUUUGUAUUCCUAGCUUGUAAGCUACUUGAGGAUAGGGGCAUGUCUGAAUCUAUUUAAUCUCUUGCACCUGUUUGGCAAAUUGAUGUUUUAAGUAUUUAAAUAACUAAAGCUCUCUCUACAGUACAUACUCACUUUUGAUUUAUGAAUUGGCAAAAUUCAACUUUUUUCCUUGAAUAUUCUUAAAGUGAGAUGAAUUCCAAAGGAGAGUGUUCUGUGUGUGGCCUUCAUUGAGUGGUUUUCUGUUACCAGAAAGCUCUUGGUGGCCUUCCUCUUCCCUGGUGUCAAGGUUGACUGUUAUAGGAAAUGGGAGGGGAGAGGGCCGUUUCUGCCACGCAUUGUCCUAGGUUCUUAACAUUAUUUAAUCCUUAUAAUGCAAUGUUAUCCUCAUUUUACAGAUGAAACCUGAGACCAAAGAACAUGUAACACAUAAAGUACAUUGCAGAGUUAGGAUGUGAACCCAACUCUGAUUCUAAACCUAAUGCUCUCACUCUUUCAUUCAGAGGUUCAGUCAGUUCUUUGUAGGCUGUAGAUCCAGAGAAGCUGCCGUAGCCAACAAUGAAGUUGUUAGUUUUUAAAACAUCUAUGUGGUAAGUUGGUCUGGCACUUAAAAAUGUAUUGUUUCCCAGGCACGGUGGUUCACACCUGUAAUCCCAGCAUUUUGGGAGGCCGAGGCAGGCGGAUCAUUAGGUCAAAAGAUUGAGACCAUCCUGACCAACAUGGUGAAACCCCGUCUCUACUAAAAGUACAAAAAUUAGCUGGGUGUGGUGGCGCAUGCCUCUAGUCCCAGCUACCUGGGAGGCUGAGGCAGGAGAAUUGCUUGAACCCAGGAGGCAGAGGUUGCAGUGAGCCAAGAUCAUGCUACUGCACUACAGCCUGGCAACAAAGCGAGACUCUGUCUAAAAUAUAUAUAUAUAUAUAUAUUGUUUACUACUCACCACAGAUCUGCAGGAGUUCACUGAUCUCUAGGAUCUGCCUUAACUCCAACUUACAUGUUUUGGUCACUAUUACAAACUGUCAUCCCAGAAUGAUGCUGCAGAGGCUAGGGCUAGGACACAGACCAGUGUUUCCAUGUGGGAAUUCCCUCCCAGUAUUUCUUAGGAAAUGUAUGUUUUUUGAAUCCAUAAUCCCUAGAAAAAUCAGUUGAGGAAAUGAGAAGUAUUGUAAUUAUUCUGUGAAUAGUAACACUUACCAUUAUGGAGACAUCACUAGUUUGAAAGAAUCCAACUUCAUCAAAUAUUAACGUACCGAGUUGAAGGCUACAAGAACUGAGACAGGAGCAUAGCAGAGAGAAACGGUCACCAUCUCAUUAGCCCUAUUUUUGGUUGUUGUGAUGCCAUUACAUCUGUAUAUCUGGCCAUAUCAGCUGCUAAUGGUGAGUUCUUGCAAACAAAAUGAUUUGAUAAACAACCUACCAUACUUUAUACAAAUCUUAUGGUGUUCCGAGAAAUAAACUUUGGAAGCAAAAUAAGUUAACAGUCUGGACACGAUUGAUUCUAUAUUCUGUUUACCUUG